CGGGACGAGUGAGUAAUGCUUGGGAAUCUGGCUUAUGGAGGGGGGUAACUACGGGAAACUGUAGCUAAUACCGCAUAAUAUCGAAAGAUUAAAGGGUGGGACUUUCGGGCCACCUGCCAUGAGAUGAGCCCAAGUGGGAUUAGGUAGUUGGUUAGGUAAAGGCUGACCAAGCCGACGAUCUCUAGCUGGUCUGAGAGGAUGACCAGCCACACUGGAACUGAGACACGGUCCAG
Molecule: ribosomal RNA, 233 nt
Filed under: uncultured bacterium
Lineage: Bacteria
Description: partial 16S ribosomal RNA
Rfam family: Bacterial small subunit ribosomal RNA
Source: RNAcentral